Molecule: ribosomal RNA, 642 nt
Filed under: Acarospora fusca
Lineage: Eukaryota; Fungi; Ascomycota; Lecanoromycetes; Acarosporales; Acarosporaceae
Description: SSU rRNA
Rfam family: Bacterial small subunit ribosomal RNA
Source: RNAcentral
CUAGUUGUAUUAUUAGUUAAUGCAAGAUCGACUACGUCGACUAAAGUUCUAGGUAGAAUAAUGAUGAUGACAAUUUUUUACCUAUAUGUCUUGACCAAGUCUCGUGCCAGCAGUCGCGGUAAUACGUGGAAGACUAGUGUUAUUCAUCUUUAUUAGGUUUAAAGGGUACCUAGACGGUAUUUCUAGCCCAAAAUAGGGUACGGAUUUACUAGAGUUUUAUGUGAGGAGGGGAGUACUCAUAGAGUAGAGAUGAAAUUUUGUUAUACUAUGAGGUAACUGGUGGCGGCGAAAGCAACCUUCUAUGUAUAAACUGACGUUGAGGGACGAAGGCUUGGGUAGCAAAUAGGAUUAGAUACCCUAGUAGUCCAAGCAGACAAUUCUGAAUGCCAUAGAUUAGAUUAUUUUUGGUCUAUAAAUGAAAGUGUAAGCAUUCCACCUUAGGAGUAAUGUGGCAACACAGGAACUGAAAUCAUUAGACCGUUUCUGAAACCAGUAGUGAAGUAUGUUAUUUAAAUUGAUGGUCCACAAAAAACCUUACCACAACUUGAAUAUUUUUAAUUUAUACAAGCGUUGCACGGCUGUCUUCAGUUAAUGUCGUGAGAUUUUGGUUAACUCCAUUAAUUAACGUAAACCCUUACUUUA